CCUACGGGUGGCAGCAGUGAGGAAUAUUGGUCAAUGGGCGCGAGCCUGAACCAGCCAAGUCGCGUGAGGGAAGAAGGUCCUAUGGAUUGUAAACCUCUUUUGUCGGGGAGCAAAAGACGCCACGCGUGGCGUUCCGAGAGUACCCGAAGAAAAAGCAUCGGCUAACUCCGUGCCAGCAGCCGCGGUAAUACGGAGGAUGCGAGCGUUAGCCGGAUUUAUGGGGUUUAAAGGGUGCGCAGGCGGAAGAUCAAGUCAGAGGUAAAAUUGAGAGGCUCAACCUCUUCGAGCCGUUGAAACUGGUUUUCUUGAGUGAGCGAGAGGUAUGCGGAAUGCGUGGUGUAGCGGUGAAAUGCAUAGAUAUCACGCAGAACUCCGAUUGCGAAGGCAGCAUACCGGCGCUCAACUGACGCUGAGGCACGAAAGCGUGGGGAUCGAACAGGAUUAGAUACCCCUGUAGUC
This 459-nucleotide ribosomal RNA is filed under the name uncultured bacterium. Its description in RNAcentral is "partial 16S ribosomal RNA". It matches the Rfam family "Bacterial small subunit ribosomal RNA", at positions 338 to 795 of the family's 1533-position model. The record is from RNAcentral.